UACGGAGGGUGCAAGCGUUGUUCGGAAUUAUUGGGCGUAAAGCGCGUGUAGGCGGCUAUCUAAGUCUGGUGUGAAAGCCCAGAGCUUAACUCUGGAAGUGCACUGGAUACUGGAUAGCUAGAGGACGAGAGAGGAAAGUGGAAUUCCUGGUGUAGGGGUGAAAUCCGUAGAUAUCAGGAGGAACAUCGGUGGCGAAGGCGACUUUCUGGCUCGUUUCUGACGCUCAGACGCGAAAGCGUGGGGAGCAAACAGG
This 253-nucleotide ribosomal RNA is filed under the name uncultured bacterium. RNAcentral's name for it is "partial 16S ribosomal RNA". It matches the Rfam family "Bacterial small subunit ribosomal RNA", at positions 524 to 776 of the family's 1533-position model. The record is from RNAcentral.